Molecule: ribosomal RNA, 439 nt
Filed under: uncultured eukaryote
Lineage: Eukaryota
Description: partial 18S ribosomal RNA
Rfam family: Eukaryotic small subunit ribosomal RNA
Source: RNAcentral
UUAGAGGGCAAGUCUGGUGCCAGCAGCCGCGGUAAUUCCAGCUCUAAUAGCGUAUAUUAAUACUGUUGCAGUUAAAACGCUCGUAGUUGAACUUAGAAUUAUUACAAGUUAUUUUGCUUGAUUGUAAAAGUGCUUGCUUAAUUCUUAUCUACUAGAUACUCUAUUCUGUACUUAAUUGUAUGGAAUAUCACCUAGCCAGUGGAACUUUAGUAGAAUAAUGCCUUUUUUAGUACCAGAGCGUAAAAACUUGAAGUGUUAAAUUGGGAUCACAUUAUUUUAUUGAAGUGGGGUUCUAGUUAAUUUACUUUGAGUAAAUUAGAGUGUUCAAAGCAGCCUCUUGGGGCUUUGAAUAGAUUUAGCAUGGGAUAAUAGAAUAGGAUUUGAUAAUCUAUUUGUUGGUUUGAAUUAAUCAAAUAAUGAUUAAUAGGGACAGUUGGGG